CUACGGGGCGCUCCAGUUGCGAAACCUUUACAAUGCACGAAAGUGUGAUAGGGGGAUCCCGAGUGCUCAUGCUUUGCAUGGGCUUUUGUCAAGGGUAAGUACCUUGGCGAAUAAGUGGUGGGUAAGACUGGUGCCAGCCGCCGCGGUAACACCAGCGCCACGAGUGGCAAUCACGAUUAUUGGGUCUAAAGCGUCCGUAGCCGGUUCAGUAAAUCUUUUGUGAAAUCGUUGGGCUAAACCUAACGGCUGGCAGGAGACACUGCUGGGCUUGAGACCGGAAGGAGUACAGAGUAUGGUGUGGGGACCGGUAAAAUGGGAUAAUCCACGCUAGACUACCAAUGGCGAAGGCACUGUACCAGGACGGAUCUGACGGUGAGGGACGAAAGCUAGGGGAGCGAACCGGAUUAGAUACCCUUGUAGUC
Molecule: ribosomal RNA, 422 nt
Filed under: uncultured archaeon
Lineage: Archaea
Description: partial 16S ribosomal RNA
Rfam family: Archaeal small subunit ribosomal RNA
Source: RNAcentral